Molecule: long non-coding RNA, 30367 nt
Filed under: Erythranthe guttata (spotted monkey flower)
Lineage: Eukaryota; Viridiplantae; Streptophyta; Magnoliopsida; Lamiales; Phrymaceae
Description: long non-coding RNA (EGUT_LNC000753)
Source: RNAcentral
UAUAUAUAUAUAUAUAUAUAUAUAUGUGUGUGUGUGUGUGUGUGUGUGUGUGUGUGUGUUUUUAUUAGUUUUUUUUUCUUUUUUCCUAAUUCGGGAUUAAAAUAUCCCGAUCGGGAUUGAACCAAUUCCCGAAUCCCGAUCCCGUAUUUGUUCCUAAUCCCGAUCCCGAAUUCCCGAAAUUUUAAUCCCAAAUAGUAAAAUUCUAAUCGGGACGGGACGGGAUCCCGAAUCCCGAUCCCAAAGUCCCAGCCCUAUAAUUUACUAUUAACAGUUGUUAGAAAGUUUUAGUAGAAAUUCGGUACGGUAUGAUAUAACAAUAGAUCUGACUCACUCGGCAAUUCCAUGAUAAAACAAAAAAAAAAAAAAAAAAUAUCCCCUAAAUAUGAUUGUUUAUAGUGUUAAGGGCUAGAGCCCAAAUAUGAACUGCAUCAGAAUAUACAUAAGGCCCAAUUACACAUUUAUCCAGCAAGAACAAUUGAAUAAUUCUCGUCUAAACCCUAGCCAAAAACCUCACAAUUGUGAACUCAUUUCUAACAUUCUCGCUCUAAUCCUGUUAAUCUGUACAUCUCUACAGCACGAAUUUCGCGUGAGCUGUGAAAAAAUGGCCGCAAAGUUUAAAGAGCUGUUAAAAAAAUACGGUAAAGUAGGAUUGGGCGUACAUUUCGCAGUCUCCGCCGCCUCCGUCACCGGACUUUACGUCGCCAUCAAGAGCAACGUCGACGUUGAAUCGAUGCUUGAAAAGUUCGGCAUGCCUAGCCUCGUCAAGGAGAAGGAAACCACCCCCGCCCCCGCUGAUCUGCUAUCGGAAGAUCUCGGGACGACCGUUGGAUCCAAUUCGGGAUUUAGAAGCGAUCUGACGGUGGAGAAGGAGAAGAAUCGGACGACUGAGCUGGCGGCGUCGAGCGGCGGUGCUUUGGCUUUGGCGGUGCUGCUUAAUAAGGCGCUUUUUCCGGUUAGGGUUCCGAUCACGUUAGCGAUUACACCGCCUUUGGCGAGGUUCCUUGCUAAGAGAAAUCUUAUUAAGAACGUGUGAGACUGUGAUUGCUUAGUUUUUCUCUGUUAAUUUAUUUUGAGUUUUUUUUUGCUCUUAAAAUAAAAUUCAGCAGCUUCAAGCUAACACUUAAUUGUGCAAAUUUGGAACGAAAGCAGGGAUUAACGGGUUCGUAAAUCUUAAUUCAUACUUAAGAUUUUAGACCUAAAUCUUUGCUAAUGGAAAGUACAUUGUGUACCAAGCAAAUUACAUGCUUCUUUUGUAGAAAAUAUACAACUUUUUUAGCACAAUGUUCGUGCUGUUGCAUCUUUCGUUUUUCCCAUUGCAUAAUGUGGAGUUGAAGUGUGUUGAUGAAUGGGAAUAUACUUUAUUCUUCAAUGAAUUUUGAUCUAUGUUGGGGUUCAAUUUCAAUAUGUUUGGUAUUGUUCAUCGAUGAAUAUUUCGCUUGCAUUUGCUUUAGUUGUCAUUGUUUUAUUAUGAUCGCAAUGCGAAUUAUUAGCUGUUUUCUUGUUUGGGGUUUGUUAUUUGAUAAAUGAAGGGCUAUGCAGAUGAUAAUAAUCGGGAGGUUCUCUCUCGGUUUUAACUCUGUCAAAGCUCCUUGCUUUUUCCCAUGAAUUGAUAUAUGUCGUAGUCGAGUCAUUUUCAUGGUUAUUGCUAACAGUGUCGAUUCUUUAAGAAAAAUGUCUGCCCCUGAAUAUAUUUGGCUUGAAUUUAGUUGCAUUCUUUGGCUUUCAAAUCAUCCGACCGAAGUAAUUAAGAGCUCGUACAGAUUUUCUUGAUUUUGUUACUUGUACUUCUGAAGCUCGACUAUCAGGCUAUGUAUCGAAGCAUUUUGAGGAUGAAUUUUUAUUUUGUUUUCAGAGGAAGGUGUUUUGAGAAAGUAUUGGAGAAAUGUAUUUUACUGUUCGUUUAUAUUUUAGUGGUGAUUACUUUGUUCAGAUUAAUACUCUUUUUCUAUACCGAAAUAUCUGUCGAAUGGAGAACUUUUGUAGUUUCGAUUUUGUCACAACAACUUUCCAAUGGAUGCAGUAAUUUAAUUUUCCUUAGUUAGCCAAUGUAGGUAAUAACCGAAUUGAAGUGCAAACAAACAACAAACAUCACUAAGGAUUUGACAAAGAAAAUAUCUACUCAAAUAAGUGACUCCAAAAUUUAAAUUCUUGUCCAAACAUUGCCUGUAAUAAUACGUUCAACAAAACUACAAUCCAAAUGAAUACAACAACAAAUUUCAUCGAUCUACUCUAAACAAAAAUAUCGACUGCCCGACCAAGAUUUUGCAGCACAAGGACAUACAUAGCCCUCGAAAAAAUAUAACAAUUAAAAAAUGUUUAUAGAAAAUGAAAGCAUGAAGAGAUAUCCUGCCAGAACCAUCACAAGAUCUCCAUAAACUGCUCAUGUUUCUGUAUUGUCAGUUCAAAAAAUUUUACAAUUAAAUGAUUAUAAUAGUUGUAAUUAAACCAGAUUUUUAGACCCCAAAAACGAGCAUUAGAAUAUGGUAUAUCAACAUAUCCCAAAUAAGAAAACACGCCUCCAUGCCGAGACCAGAAUUUCAAUUAAUCCUCGAAGAUUUGCUUUCUUCGAGUAAUACUUUCAGACCAUUGCUACAACUGUACCGGAUUUAGAUGCUCAAAUUCGUGGCAGUUUGCUCCGAUUCCUUGUAAAGCAGAGAAAAGUUUCGGUGCAACUUUAUUAAGCAUAAGCUUGAAACCAACUGAAUUUGAGUCGGUAUUAAUAUCAUUGGUCGAAGCAUCUUUUGCGAGCGAACCGAUGAGGUGUCCUUUCAUAUAAGCAUCACAUGCCUUGAGAAUAUAAAGACCCCUCUUCUUGAAAUGCUCGAUCACAAGUUCUUCAAAAUCCUGCAAAUUUAGAUCCAUGGAUAAUUUUACUUCAGCAAAACAUAUCUGAAAAUUUAGGCCCUCAGAAAAACAAUCCACCCCAAAAAGAAAAUGUUGAGAAAAAUAUUAUUUAAUCACCUUUGGGGGCUUUCGGAUCAGAUACAUCAUUGUCUUACAGUUCAACAAAAACGUAUUUUCAUUGUACGACAAUGAAUUUUUCUCCCCUUCAGCUGUGCCAACUUGCUUAUCAUAUCCAGCUUCGUUGAAGUAUGGCUUGGAAUUUAGUACAAGCCCUUGAAGUGAAACGAGAACUUGAAGAAUGCUCGAUGUUGAAGGAUCCCAAACCUCGUUUCCUCUGCCUGUCCACGUAUUCAAAAGACUAAGACAAACUUUUCCUUCCUCGUAUAAGUUUGGAUUUAUUCGCCACCCUCCAGAGUAAUAGUACGCCGACUAGAAACAUGAGACAGUAAAUUUAGUUUAAGAAUUUAAUAAAAUUAAAUUAAAUAAAAAAUUAAUAUAUUGAAGUUUUCAUACAGGUGGAACAUCUGGAUAGUCUGGUGGAAGAAGAAAAUCGAAGAAGAAAAGUCCAUCUUGGUAAGGUGUGCCGUAAGCUCCAACUAUCACAGCCCUCAAAAGAUCCAUUCUAUCUUCAUAGACACGCACAUAUAUACCAUCUGUUCACAUUACAUUACUACAGCUUUUAAAAAACAUCUCCUAAUAUGUUUCAAAACAAGAAUUAACAUGUAAGAGAAUUAGAAAAAAAAUGACUCGAGCAUACCGGGCAGGUUAUUUUGUAGAAUGUCCCAAUCUUGUUGAACUUUCUUCAGCCAUUUCCUGGCAGCAUUGGCCUGUAAAUAUUUACGCAAACGCUCAGUUACUACUCAGAUUCCUAAAGAAUUUGGGAAACAACAUUUGUAGGUAAAAAAAGAAAGGACAAAAACCUGUCUCUGUGAACCAAGAAAGUAAUGGUCUGAAGGAUCUUGAACAAUAUCGAAGCCUUUGAAUGCCGAAUUAAGCUCUUCUUCAAGUGGAGGAGCAUUUGAUUCUGGUGGUUUUAAGUUGCACAGAGUCUCGGCAAUUUCUAACAAAUCGGAGGACUCAGCAUUAUCAUUUUCCUCCCCUUUACAAUUAGUAGUUAGCUUAGAAAGUCGAUAUUCAAUAUUAUUAGGUUCCUCGGAGCUGGACCCACCAUCUUCUUCACCGUUGAUAUCUGAGUUCAAAUCCGAGUGCUUUUGUCCCCUUGAGAAUAUUCCGGAUGCUAGUCUGGUCAUGAAACCGAUUGCAGCAAGUGGAAUCGAGAGUGCUCCAUUCAUUCCGGAAUUUUCUGCAACGGGAUUCUCAUCUUCAAUCCCGGCCUGGAUUUCACCGGCAUUGUCCUCCCCAUUGCCCUAAAUUCAAUGCGUAUUCACAAUUUUAUCAAACAAAUUAGACAAAUAUAUUCUGCAAGAGAAAGGUGUAUUACAAUCAUGUGCUAACUGCUAAGUAACUGAAUUAAACCUCUCAAGUUGCUUAUUCAAAUAGAUAAAAUAUGCAUCAAAUCCACAAAUUCACCAUAAAGCAUCUCACAUAAGCUCAAUACAAAGGAUUUAAAUAAUAAUGAUGUAAUAGUUGAGAAGAAAGACUGAAUUUUUUCUUUCAACAAAUAAUUUACAAUCCGAUAAAUUGAACUCCACGAUAAUCCAAAACACCAAACAAGAAAGCCUGAAUUAAUUGAGCGUAAAAAAAUAUACUGUUCUAUUAGCCAAUUUUUUUACCUCCUGAAUAUUACCGACACUAUCCAUGUCAUCUUCCACAGUUUCCCAGCUAGCUGCAUCAUCACUGUCAUCACUUCCACCUGCAACUGAUUCAUCAUCAUCUCGACCAACGACAUAUAUUGCUUGAGGACCAACCUGAUAUAACAACAACAGAGUUUACAAUAAAAUCCAAAUUAACAUAUAUAUAUAUAUAUAUAUAUAUAUAUAUAUAUAUAUAUAUAUAUAUAUAUAUAUAUAUAUAUAUAUAUAUAUGAUGGCUGCAGAAUAACUACCGUGGAUACCAUCCCAUCCGCCCAAGUAACUUCUAUAUCACCAUCUUUCAGCGCUGUGAUAUUCCCUACCCAAGACAAAUCCGAAAACUCAUUGGACGUGUCUUGUGUAUUAUCCUUUUCAUUUUGCUCCCCCUUUUCAUGUUCGGGUGUAUUUUCGACAGAGUGUGAAACAGAAUCCAUAUCGGCUGGUAAAGAAAUAGGAGACAGCCUAACAACUACGUCUCCAUAACAAUAAUCAUAGUCAGGAUGUCCUUCCAGCUCAUAAACACUCACCACUUCUUCCUGAUCAAAUUCUCUAGGGUCAUCUGCCCUCAAAACGGGCUUCAACCACCGAAUAUUAGCCGUUCGAUCUUUCGCAUUGACACUUUUCACAACACCCACACGUCUUGUCUCAGUAGGGUCGUCACUGUCAACAGCCUUCUCCACUACGUACUGUUCCGCAACAAAUUCGUGGUCACCAGGACUGUCAAUGGGAAUUAAAGAAGUCGAAUCCAGGCCCCGUUUUAUCGUCCCAUCCUGCCAGGCGACAUCGACUUUUGUCUUGGUGUUGAUGAUUAAAAGGGCUCUUUCGAAGUUUUCGACUUUCUUACGGACUUUCUUUUCCUUUUUCACCACCACUUUACGGAUCUUUUUACGGUGAAGGGGCACUGAAGUAUUGCAUGAUCUUUCUGCAGGUGUGUUGUGAUCUGGUAUUCCACCAGUUUUGUUCAAGGAAGCGUCUGAAUCGUUCUCCAUGGAUGCCACUUCUGCAUCAGAAUCAUCGCCAUUUUCAGUAGUGGAGUCAUGUUCUUCCUUAGUAGAAACUGGUUUUGAUACUUCCUUAUUUAACAGUGUGAAUGAGGAUGACUCUAAGCAUGAAGGAGGUAAACACCAAUCACCCAACUGCCAAUUUGUGUGCGCGAAACAAGACAAUAGCUUUAAAUUCUUCGGAGUCUGCUCUUCAUCUGGUGUAGUAGCGGAAUCAGGCCCAUAUCCAGCCGAAGCAAUCCAGUAUAUCAAAACCGACCCUACAGUAACUUUAGUCACUGUCCCUUCCAAACGGUUAGCUUUCCAUAAUCCAGACAGCCAUCUCGAAUUCUUGAAAACAGACGAAGAAGUUGCCUUCACACGCUGGCCUGGAUAAUACGGAAAAUGCCCGUCUUCGAUAAUGUUCUUUCCGACCGGUUUAAGAUGCAACGGGUCGGCUUUCAUUACUUUGCACACAGAACCAUCAUCAAGCUGAACAGUUACAUUAUCGAAAACGUCUUCGAUCCUACCGAGCCAUGGACCAAGUACAACAUGAUCGCCCACAGUGAAAUCCCUAAUGCGCCUCAACUCUUUAGACGGUUUAUCUUCUAGUAUAGUUCCAUCAUGUGCUAAUAAAUCAACAUUGAUAUUAACAUCAACCACGAUACCUAUUUGACCCAUUGGAUCAGAGGCUGAAGAAACAUAGUCGCCGUGUAGAAACCCUCUAUCCACAACUUUCACGUCAUUAGUGCUUUCAGUUGUUUCUGAACCGUUCAUCCAAAACACUCUAAGUUGGUCGACGGUAAGUGGGGUGUGCUUGUAGUCAUUUUCAUCGUUAUUUUCAGCAGCAUUUUCACCAUUGUUGUCUACUGCACCUUCAUCGUUCGAACCAGCACCAUCUUCUUUUUCGUCAUCUUCAUCUUCUUCAUCAUCUUCAUCUUCAUCAUCAUCAUCAGAGCUAUCAGAAUCCGAAUCUCCAGCAACUUCGGUCACUAUUCCAAUCUCAGUGUCGGUUUUGUUUCUCACGACAUCUUGUCUGUAAAUGUACGAGACGUUCUGUAAAUUCUUCAGAAUAUCGCCAGGUUUAUCUCCGUGGCUUGAGUUUGGAUCUAGAUUAACCCCGUUUGAAGACGAAUCACCUUGUUUUGAGGUGACAGUUUCAGAAUCCAUCGUGACCUGUGAAUCACAGAAGAUACCAGUUUAAAAAUCACCAAAUAGAUACAUAUAAUAGCUGCCCUACAUCGAUCGAUGGGUCAAAAACAGUACUAUACGGAAACCUUUUUACGUUUCUUGAGUAGCAAAAAAAUCACUGAGUGAUUCUUUUUCCUACUAAGAGGGCAUCUGAUUCAUUGUGAAAGUAAUAUUACAAUCUCUUUCUCUUGAACACCAUUUCCAGAUUAGAAACUUAGUCCCAUCUCAAAAGGAAAACGAAAACUCAAUGCAUGCAUAUACAGAACAUCCAUAACCCUAAUAUCCAUCUAAUUUCAACUAAACCUUCACAAAGCAUCAUCCAAUAAAGCACAACAGAAAUUUCUGUUCAAAUCUAAAUUGCAGAUUUAGGAAAGCAACUAAAAAGAUAAAUAGUAACACUGAAAAAAAAAAAUCCCUAAGCCAGCUCAAAACUCAUCAUCCAAUGAAACUCGUUACAGCUAGAGAAGAAGCUGAGAAAUAAAUUUCCCAAAAAAAAAAAAAAAAAAAAAAAAAACAAGAUCAAAAUAAAUUGGUACCUACACGAGUCAAAUGAAUAUGCGAAAAUACAUAAAACGAAAUUGUUGCAAUUUGAAAACGCAGCGGAUAUGAUAAAUUAAUGGAUAGCACAGAUCAAUUGGGGGAAUGGGGAGAAGAAUGUUAACAAUCACCUCUGAAAUCGAGCUCAAGGCGCAAAAUUGAUCGAUUGAAAAUGGAAAAAAAAAAAAAGAAAAAUUAAUGAGAAAACGAGCGGCUCUCUUCGUUUAUUCUAAUAGUCGUGGAACAAAUGUUUAUAUAUAGUGUUCAGAGGAAAUGUUCCGUGGUGUGGUAUCAUCACGCGCCGCCUACAGGCUAUCACGGUGGGUUUAGGGGCUUUCUUGUCUUUUUAAAGUAUAGUUAAAUAUUAAUUAGAAUUUAGAAAUUAAUCCUUAAAAUAAAUGAUAUAACACAGUUCGGCCCAAACAUUAUUGGGCUCACCUAAUUAACCAUACUCGUCCUGAUGAGUAUUUAGGUCUGAAUUCAUGUGGCCCAAAAUUCACUCCAAAUAUAUCUUGGGGUAAAAUACGGUCACCCCCUCAUGUAAGGUCAAAUUAUGAAGAAAAAAAAACUCCAUGUUAGGGUAAUUACAACCAUUCCCUCAACUAUGAAUUUUUUUACACGUUGACUCUUGCAGUGUCAAAUUUAGUAGAAUAUUCUAAAUUAUGUGGAAUAUUCUUCAUUUUGUACUCGCUAGAAUAUUCUAAAUUAUGUGCAAUUUUCUUCAUUUUGUACUCGUUUGACCCCAUUCGAGCUCCACAUGUUGAAACAAGAUGAUCAUAAGAUGUUCUCUUGGCAUGUAAAUAUCAGAUUGUGGUUUUUUUGAAACUGCAUUUUUUGCACAAAACGAGUACAAACUAGAGAACAUUCCACGAAAUCUAGAAGAUUAUGUUGAAUUCGACACCAUAAUGGUGGACCUAUAAGAAAAUUCAUAACUGGGGGUACUUGUAAUAACCCAAACAUGAAGGGAUUUUUCUGUAAUUUGACCUUACUUUAGAGGAGUGGCCUUAAUUUAUCCUAUAUUUUAGUAGCUUUCAAUAUUAAUUUAUUUUUAAGAGAGAACAGUGUUUUCCAAAAUGAAAACAAAUUUUGCUUUCAAAUUUAUAAAUUCUUUUAGUGUACGCAAUAUUUGAAACAGUAGUCCGAAAGCAACAAAUCAACCCUCGUUAGGAGAGUUGCUACGUAACAUUUAGCCUAAUUAUAAAGGUUUAAUUUGUGUUUCUCUCCUAUUAAUUAGCCCUAUAAGUGGGCUAAUUUACGGGCUUUUUUAUCGGGUUGGGCUCUUCAAUGAACUUAUGGGUUUUAAUUUAAUAUGAAACAAAUUGUUUUCCUAUAUAAAAAAAGCCCAUUUAGUUAACAUAUUAUCUCAUUAACACACAAUCACACACAUAAAUAUGUAAAACCUGUAUUGGAUAAAUACACAUCGACAAUGAGAUUACACAUAGUCAAGUUUAUGAGGUGUAAAUACUAAUAGACUAAAUUUAUUGAUAAAUGAAAAAUGAGAUUCAUUGUAUAUUUCGCAAUCCCUAUCGUAUAAUAUAGUUUAAGUACUUUGACUAUUUUAUAAAAUUUCCAUACACAAUUAAUAUCAAAAAAUACAAAUUUCAUGUGAUAGUUACAUUACAUGACAUCGUAUUUUAAUUAAUAAUGCAUGAGUAUGAUGACUUUUAGACAAUGAAAUUGAAGGGUCUGAUUUUGGAUAAAUUAAAAUGACAGUUGGCCCUUGAACAAUUAAUUAGUGGAUUUUAUAUAUUGUAUAUGGGGCCAAAAUAGUAUUAUUUUUUUGAAAUUUCGAUAACUAUUUUACCAGUUCAUAGUUGAACUUGAACAUUACGUAGUUGCAUACGAGUUUUUUUUCUUUCUUUUUCGAUAUAUUUUUGUUAUGCAUCACAUGUGCAUAAUAAAAUAACAAGGAUAAAUUACGUAAAACCCCUGAAGUUAGGCUAAAUUACAUAAAAACACCCUGCCUAUCCUUAAUUAUUGAAUAUAAUUUAAUGAUUUUUAUUAACAGGAACGAGGUUCUAGAAUACAAAAUAAAAUAAAUAAUUGCACACUGACGCAAGUGAUGAUGGAAAUGUAAAAAAAAAAAAAGUGUAUAUAAACGUUUUUAUGUGACUAUUUUUCUAGAAAUAAAAUUAAAUUAUUAAUAGUUUAUUAUAGAAACAAGACAAUAUAUGAAGGGUUGCUUGGUAAAGAGUAGCUAUCAGUUGAUAUGCAAGAAACUGGGGCUUUUUAUUUGACCAGAAAGGUCAGUUUUAUUGCAUUAUAAUUUAUCACUGGUCAAACUGAUGUUACAUAUAAUUAAAUAUUAAAUUGAUCCCAUUUACAUAGGGUACUAUAUACAUUAUAUAUUAAUUAUUAGGUUUCUCUUAAUUUCAAUUUUAUAUAUAUCUUUAUAUAUUAUUAUUGGUGAAAAUCAUUCUUAGGACGGCCUUAACCAAUUUAAGUCACACUCAAUCAAAUCAAUACGCGGUUAAUUCCUAACCUCAAAUACCAUAUUGGAUUAACUAAUAUAACUAAUUCGCUAUUUUCAAAGUUAGGUUCAAGUCUUCAUAUAUUUUAGAUUGUGCAAUAUGGAUACGAGAACGCGAACACGAUGUAAUGGGGAAACAGACAGUGUGAAACUCUAUUUUUCAAAAAGUGGGAUACGAGAAUAUGGGAGAAACGUGUAAAGAUUAUUAAAACGUUUAGCUUACAUAUUUAUCGGUCAAUUACAUAUUUGUAUCUACAAAUUAUAUAUAAUUUACAAUUUCCAAUCCGAAUUAUCAUUCUACAUAUUACAUUUGGGGCAUAUAAAUUUAUUUUAGUAUGAAAUCAGCAUCUAAAAAAAUAUUAAAACACCAUUUGAAGAGAAAAGGAUUUUUUAUUUUCUUUUUUUGGAAACUUUUAAAUAUUUACGAAAACAACCCCAAAACUUUUAAAUAUCUACAAAAACCCCAAAACUUUUAAAUAUUUAUGGAAAUGACCCCAAAACUUUGAAAUAUUAUACGAAAACGACCCAAAAUGUUUCCUGUAAUGGCAUUUCAAUUUCCGAAAUGUGGAAACGUGUGUGCAUAGAACAUAGAAGUUUCCUGCAUCAUAUAAUAAUUUCCGUUGAUUGCUUUUUGCGGUUUGAAAAUUGCUAUUUGCGGUUUUUAACAAAACCCCCCAAAAAACACUUUAUUUCACUAAAACCCCAAAACUUUCCAAAAAAAUCCAAAAAACCCACCCAAAACACGUAAAAGCCCAACUUGGGCGCCCAUUCAUGCAGUGCACGCCCAAGUUGGGCGUGCAAGCUGCAUUUGGGCACCCGAGUUGGGCGUCCAAUGCAAAAAUUUUUUUUUUUUUUUUUUUUUUUUUAAAUGUUCGAACGCCCAUCUUGGGCGUUUGACCAUUUUUUUGCGAAGAAAAAAGCCCUACAAAUCGAUUUGUAGGGCUUUUUAACAUGAAAUUGGUUCCGUAAUCGACCUACCCAAUGCAUAUUACACAUAAAAGAGUCGAAAUUACAUCAAAAAAUCGAAGCCCAACCCUUCUUCAAGCUUGAUUUCGAAUUUUCAAAUUUUUUUUUUUCUUUUUUUUUACUAUUUGCAGUUUUGGGGGAUUUUUUGAUAUUUUUAAAAGUUUUGGGGGGUUUUGUUAAAAACCGCGAAUAGCAAUUUUGUGACCGCAAAUAGCAUUUCCGUUUUAUAUUUAUGGUAAUGAAUCAAUUGAGUUUGCCUAAAGAAGCAUAUGAUGUAAUGGAUUAGGAGUUAUUAAAUGCAUUAUAGCUAUAGGGUUUUUUUUUCUUGAUUAUUCUAAUUUGAAGCUGUAUACUCUCAAUUUCUUUUUUAAUGAAUUAUUGAUUCUGAGUUGGAUAAUCAUUUCAAACUAUUUAUUAUUUGAUGUGUGUUACUACUAUUUACCCUUGUAUUAACCUAAUAAUAAUAAUAAUAAUGAAUAAAAAGGGGCUCCAUGUAAUAAAUGCAGCAUAUAAAUAAAGACCAAGUCCAUAGUUUAUUUGAUUAAUAAUGAAGAAAAGAGUUGUCAUAGAUUCAGGUAGAACAACAUUAUCCUUGUGAGUCCAUUUCUAGGUGGUGGUUAAGAUAAGGGCAACCCCCAAUACAUGAUCUCUCGGUCGUGCGUUUUUUUUUUUUUUUUAAUAAUAUAAUCAAAAAAUAAAAUAAAAUAAAAAAUCAUUGUCUAUUUUCCAAAAUUUAUCAAGGUCCCAUGAGCCCUUUUUUUCCUAGAUAUUGAUUGUCGAUUUCUAAUAAAUGUUGUGUAGGAAGUAUAAUAUUGCUUGACGACCGAUUGAUUUUAGAAAUGCUGGUAGCACUUGAGAUCCUAUAAAUAGUAAAAUAAUUGAUAGAAAUUAUCUAAUAAAUCAAGAUAAGUAUUAGUUCUUUUGAGUGGGCUCUCAAAAAAAUAUUUCACUAAUCAAAUUAAAAUCAAGAUCCAAUUAUUCUUUAUUUAUCUAGAUUUAACAAUGUCCUAAAGAUUUUCUUUAUUCUAAAUUUUGAAUAUUGAUUAAAUAGAUUUAUGUAGAGGAUGAGGAAGUAUAGAAAAAUAAUGGAAGCCACAAAUAGGAAGGGCUAAGAUAAAUAGGUAACUGUGUGUAGAAUUUGGUAACAGUCCAAUCAGAAGAAUGGGGCACUUAUUUAGUGGACUUGCUGAAAUACACUUGUUGUUAGGUAUGUGUUUGUAUUUUAUUUUGAUUUUAUUAAAUACCAAUUAUUAUUUUUUUUUGUCCCCAAAAUAUAUUAAUAAUAUUAUCUUAACUUACUCAUUGGAUAAUAAUUUUUAUUAAACAAAAUAAUGGUUUAAUCCUACUUUACAGUUUACACCAUGAAAUGUGGCAUUUUGGCAUUUUGCACCCUUGAAAAAAAUUAAUAGCAUCUUUCUCCCUCAAAAUACAUUAAAUUGCUAUUGGUGGGGUGCAUUAUGCAUGAUUCAUUGUGUUUCGAGGGUGCAAAGUGCUAUAAUUUUUGUUUUGAGAAUGCAAAGUGCCAAAAAAAACUAUAUUUCAAGGGUGCAACGUUUACUUCAAUCCCACUCAACGCAACUCGCAAGUGUUGCAUUUUUUUUUACCCAAAUUUUCCUAUCUUCGUAUAAAAAUAAUAACGAAAAAAAAUCUUACUAUUACAAAUAAUUAAUUGAUUUAAUGUGAAAUAAUAAUGCAUAAAUCGAUUUUAGCACUUGAUUUUAUUAUGACUUGUGAGAAGAUAAACCAAAAGAAAAAAGUAAUGCUCCAAGAUAUUUUGGGUAUUUAAAAAAAAAUAUCCUUAUAAAUGACCAUUACAUUAUUACAUUAUCUUUAAUAAUUUAGAAAUUUAAAAUGUGAUAAAUAUAUGGAGGUAAAAAAAAAAAGUAAAUAAUAAAAGUAAAAAGAGAAAGCGUGUUUGGUGAAGUUGGGCAUUUAAUUGAACUUGAGGAAUAUAUAUGUAGAAGAGUUUAGCCAACAAUAGAACACUGUCCACUCAGAUACAGUGGGGCUGAAUAAAUUCGAUGCUGACUGAUUACCAUAAAACAUUAUUACUACUCACAACUUGAAUUUUGAAUACUCCACAUUUUUUCUAUGAUGUUCGAUUUCGGUCUUGUCCUUCUAAUUAUGUUUUUGUUUUUGUCGUUUCGAUUUUGCUUAAAUAUUAUACUCAACUUUAUUAAUACUGAUCUUGAACAUAAGUAAAGCUUAUACAUGUAUAUGUGAUGGAGCAAAAUUUGCACAUCGAUCGUCGGAAAGUUCACUCGACGCUGGAUGUAGGGCCCGCGGUGAUAAACAAGCAAACGAAAAAUGUAAAAAGAGAAAGGACAAUUCAAGAGAGUAUAAAAAGUGUGUUUAUUACUCGUGAUUUACAUUAAUUGCUAAAUUAUUAAUCUUAAUUUACGUAUUUUUCUUAUUUAUUUAGGCAUUAUAUUUUUGAAUUUUCUUUUUCCGACAACUCUUAUUCAGCUCGUUACCUACUCCAUUGAUCGUCUCUUGCAUGUUCGGAUGGGUUGGCAAGCCUGUUAACCGCGUAUCCUAGAUUCAUCGUUUGACGAGCUUGAUACUAACGAUCUUUCUUCCGCUGAACUUCUAAAGAGGCCAUGUAUUCGAUGUACACUGAGUUUCUAGGCUCCAUACAUCCAUAUUGGCCCAUAUGUUUUCGUCCUGACAUUGUCAAUAUGCCCGAUGUGAGAAGUUUGGCCCAAUCUUGUUAAACUGACCCACCGUCAUUAUAUAUAUAAGUAAAAGAACACGAUAAUCAAGGAAUUUCACUUACUAUUUCUAAAUGUUUAAUUAUCUUUUCAAAUGGGGUAAAAAUAUUGGAACUAUGGUAGAAAAUAAGAGUCAUUGAGUAACUUUUAAACUCCUCUAUAAUAACUCCACCGAAUUAGUAAAAGUUAAUGAUGUUUUUUUUAAUAAAAUUUAUUUAAGGUCAAUUAGAUUAUUAAUAAGUCGAAUCAACUUAAUUCGUUUGCACCUAAUCACAAGUCACAUCUAUCAAUCAUGCAUAAGAAAUCAAUGUAGUGAGAUUAUCACAAAAAGUAAUGAUAAUUUGGUUUUAGCAAAGAUUUUCUUAAAAUUAGGAUUACGAAACCUUAAAAUGGCUUCCACCCAAGAUUAAUUAUUGCACUAAUGACCAAAUGACAUAUGCAACAGAAAACCUCCAAUAAAUUGAUUUCAUUCUAAUUGUUUUUCUUAAAUGAAAACAAUGGUUCGUACUUCGUAUUACAGUAAACUUAUUACGUUUCUAAUUAAAUGUCUUUUCAAUUUCUUUUCUUUAUAUUAUCUGUCAUUUUAUAAUUAUAAUAAAUUUAGGGCUAAAUACACUUUGCACCCCUGAAGUAUAGCUCAUGUAACAUUUACCUUCUUAAAGUAUCAUUUGUAACACUUACCCCCUCCACAUUAAUUAUUUUAUAUUUUAAAAUUUAAAAAAUAAUAAACAUAACAAUCUAAUAAUUAAUGGUUCAUAGAAAAUUGAAAAGUAACUAAAAUCAAUUAUUGAAAAAAAUUUAAAAAGUAAUAUAUAUUGGGUAACAAUGAAUGAAAAUAUAUUUAAAAAAAUUAAUGAACUAAAAUAAAUUUAAAUACUUAAGAUUUCUAUUAGUUAUGUAUUGAUUUCUUAAAAUUUAUCGAUAGAGUAUUUUUGAUUAAUUGGUCCAACAACAAUUAGAUGUUAUUUAUUGAAUAAAUAUCCAACGCAAGAUAAUAUUUUUAAAUUUUGAAAUAUUGUAUUUUCAACAGAUAUUUUUAGUUGUAUAAUUUAAUUAUUCUUUUAGUUAUUCCUUUCAAUAAAAUAAUAUUUUUAAGGUGUUCAAAUUUAAAAUACAAAUUAAAGUGUGCUUGAGGGGUAAGUAUUACAAAUAAUACUUUAAGGGGUAAGUGCUACAGGGGGUAUACUUUAGGGAUGCAAACUGUAUUUAACCCUAAAAUUUAUUAUUAUUUUUUGCAACCAAACAUAUAGGUCUUUAUCAACUGUACAUGUAGUGGUGGGAGCAUUUAACAUCUAGCAAUACGAAUUUAGGCAACAUUUUAAAUGAUAAUUGCAAAAAAAGUAAUUACCAAGAGCGGUAAUUAGUGUAAUUCAAAGUAACCACUCACUUAAAUUUGAGUUGUUUUAUUAUUUUAUUUUGGCAAUAAAAGAAUUAAAAAAAAAAAUAGUUUCAAGUGAGAGUUCAUAAAGAAAGCAUUGAUUGAAGCUGAGGAAAUGCAAUUAAAGGACGGCUGAGUAAUCAAAAAAAGUCCAAGCACAAAAAGCUCACACUGAGCUGGUGGCCAUACUUACCCAUUCAUGUUUACGCAAUAUCCUUUUAUUUCACCAUUUUUUUUUAAUUUAAUAAUUUAUUUAGAUAUUUGAUUUUGUAAGAUGAAAAAUAUAUAUAUUUGAUCACACGUAUGUUUCCACGUGUCGCAUAGUAAAAGGCUGGUAGUAGCAUGAAAAACCCAUGCUAAAUGGUAAUUAUUCAACUUCAUUGACAAUUAUUCAUUUACGUGUUUAUACGCUAGAACUAGAAAAAAAUACUACUGUAUUAUUUUUAUAUUUAUUUAUUUAUUAAAUAAUUAAAAUAAAUAUAAAUGAAGGGGAAUUUGGUUUUAAAAUGUUUAAUUUUAUUUUUCUUGUGCUCCUAGCUAGCUAUCUCUUUCCAUAAUGGAGAUGGUAGGUAUAAUUAUUUAUAGUUUCUCUCUCUAGAUUUUCUGUAUCUGGAAGAGAGAGAAAGGGAGAGAGAGAGGGCGUGGAGCCCAAAACUGGUCCUCUGCUUUGCUGGAUCGAAGCUCUCGAUUGUUGGUUUUUAAUGGUGUUUGUCUGCUGAGAUAUACCACAGUUUCAGUUGCCCCAAUCAAACACCACCAUUGCACUACUGUAAUUCUAAUUCAAAUACCAACUCUCUCUCUCUCUCUCUCUCUCUCUACUGUUUCUUCUCUCUCUCUCUCAUCGAUAAUUUCUGUUUUGCAGCUCUGUUUUCUCUCUCCCCCAUUUCUGAGUUUUUCCUUCUUCUUCAAAUACUUCAUCAUCAUCUUCUUGUACUUGUAAUUGCGCACAAACAAAAUUAAGAGAGAGAGAGAACAUUUCGAGUUUGUUGCUUAUUUUAUCUCUUCGAUUUUGUUUUUUGGUUAAAAAAAUCCUUCUGAUUUGAUUGAUCCACAGAUCUAAAGUUUUCCUUCAUUUCCAGAUCUUUCUUCCUCUCAAUCUGCUGUAAAGGUAAACUACUGUAGCAUAUUUAACAGCACCAUUUCACUAUGCGGUUGCUUUUUAUUUGGAAAAUUUGUAGUGUUUGAAUUUCUUAUGCUUUCAGUAGUUUAAUUUUAUUUUUUUAAUUCUAUUUUUGUUUUGGUAGAAUUUGACAAAGAUGAACUGAAUUUUGACCAUCUUCUCUGGUAUUGAUUUGUCUUGGUCAUGGUCAGAGAUCUAUUUUACAACCAUAUUACAUUUAUUGGACUAAUAAUCGAACACCUAAUUUUUGCUUACUUCCACUGCUUAUCAUUUUCGUAGAGGAAUUGAAUUUAUUUUUUCCUUCAACUUCUAAUUCUCUGUUGGUUUUAGGGGUUUAUAUACAGUCAAAUAUCAGGGCACACAUAAGCUUCUGAUUUCAUGUAUGCUAAAGUUACCUCAAGUGGCCAUUACAUGAUACUUUGGAGGGUGUUUUGGAUGAGAUGAGGUAUGUUAUCAGGGCUGAUGGACUUUCUGACGGCCUGUUUUCGGCCGAGGGCGGAUCGGAGUGUUCACACUGGUUCGGAUUCUAGUGGCCGUAAAGAUGGGCUUCUGUGGUAUAAAGACGCAGGGCAGCAUUCCAAUGGAGAUUUCUCCAUGGCUGUAGUUCAAGCAAAUAAUUUACUAGAGGAUCAGAGCCAGCUCGAGUCUGGUUCUUUGAGUACUAGUGACUCUGGUCCGUACGGCACUUUUGUUGGGGUUUAUGAUGGGCAUGGUGGUCCCGAGACCUCUCGUUUCAUCAAUGAUCAGCUCUUUCAACAUCUAAAGAGUAAGUCCGUAUAAUUUUAUUUUUAUUUAUUUUUUGUAGGAUAAAUUGAUUCAUUUAGUAUGUUGAUGUGAAAACUUGAAACUGAUGAAUGAUAUGUAUCCAUUAUAAGGUGGUGUUCUUCAAAAUGCUUUUGAAAAAGAAUAGGUGUUGGUGGUUAUGUGUGAAGUUUGGAAUGAUUGCUUAUUUCUGAAAUCUGAGGGUGUUUGCAGUUGUCUUGAAACAUCAAACUUUAAGCCGUCGAUUUAUAAGUUGACGUGUUUAAUUUUCGAUUUUCUUUUUUUUGGUAAAAAGUAUCUUAGAUUUUGUCCUUAUAUAUGAAACUGGAUUUUGAUAAAAAUAACAAGAGCACAAAUGUCCAAUGCAACUUUUAGCUCCAAAAAGUUGAUGAAGAGAUGCUUUUGAGAUUACAGCUUAACACAAAUUAUUUUAUAACACAAACACUAAAAAAACCUCCUAUUUUGGAUCUUCAUGUAAUAUAUCAUGUAGUUGGUUAGGAUUGGUGGUUUUGAUUUCUUAGAGGUGAAAUUGGUGCAGGGUUCACAGCAGAGCAUCAAUCUAUGUCAGUGGAGGUCAUUCGAAAGGCAUUUCAAGCAACUGAAGAUGGGUUUCUCUCAGUUGUGAGCAGACAAUGGCCCAUGAAACCACAGAUUGCAGCCGUUGGAUCUUGCUGCCUUGUUGGAAUAAUCUGCGGUGGGAUUCUUUAUAUCGCUAAUCUCGGAGAUUCUCGUGCUGUCCUAGGGAGGCUUGUCAAGGCCACAGGAGAAGUGCUUGCUAUUCAACUCUCGGCAGAGCAUAAUGCUUGCUUCGAGUCUGUGAGACAGGAGCUGCAUUCUAUGCACCCCGAUGAUCCGCAUAUUGUGGUUUUGAAGCAUAACGUUUGGCGAGUAAAGGGUCUCAUACAGGUCGGUUUUUAUCCAUUUUCUGGUAGCCUUUUCAUUAUUAGAUCAAGAUUCACCCUCNNNNNNNNNNNNNNNNNNNNNNNNNNNNNNNNNNNNNNNNNNNNNNNNNNNNNNNNNNNNNNNNNNNNNNNNNNNNNNNNNNNNNNNNNNNNNNNNNNNNUGUCUUCCAUAAAUUAUGUGUGACUUUGAGAUUCCGACCAAUAAUUGCACUUUCUACAAUUGCCUUGUUAUUCUGAAUUAGUUUGAGAGAGAAUUAGUGGAAAUAUACUUAACCAGAAGGGUAUUCCAGUACUUUUCCUAUAUGACUUCCCAAUUCUUGAGUUUGAUUCUCCUAUUUCAUCACUAUUUGCCACAGGGUAGCGCUAGGAGAUUAGUGAAGACGGCAUUACAAGAAGCUGCAAAGAAAAGGGAGAUGAGAUAUUCGGAUUUGAAGAAAAUCGACAGAGGGGUACGUCGUCAUUUCCACGACGACAUCACAGUGGUAGUGGUAUUUCUGGACUCGCAUCUUGUGAGCAGGGCUAGUUCGGUCAGAGGGGGUCCCAACAUAUCUGUGAAAGGCGGUGGCAUCACUUUACCCACCAAUACUCUUGCACCAUGCACCACUCCAACAUAGCUGUCUCUGAAGCUGUUAUUACCUGCUUUGUACUACUCUGUUCUUGUCUGAAUUGAAUUUACAGGUAGCUUCUUGAAAGAGAGACAAUAGACCAGAACCUUGGAUUCUUUAAUGUACACCGUAACCCGUUUUUAACUGAAGACUGAUGAUAAUACUUUGGCAUAGUUCAACUGCCCAAGAGAGAGGAAGAGAGAGAGAGAGAGAGAGAGAGGAUGGAGAAGGUGAAAAGUUGAAGGUGAUAUUCGUCGUAGUUAUGUGUUUUCUUUCUGGGGCAGAUGUUUCGAACCCAUGUUGUCUUCCGUUUUAUUAUUUGAUCGAAAAUUCACUUUUGUAAAUCCCGUUGGAGACGAGUGAAGCAUAUUAUAAAAGCUGAAAGUGGAUAAGCAGAAAGUUAUAUAUGUUGCCAUUUUUUUCUCUAUACAUAUUUUGCAUAUUUUUGGGUUUUGUUCUUUCCUGGAUUUUAGUUCUUAUUUAGCUUUGUUUGAUUAGUAUGAUUAGCUAUUAUUAAUUGAAUAAUUAAAUUUUAUUUGAUGUAUCGGUAGUCCUAUAGUUUUUCGGACAUGCUCGCACGCAAUUAUGUAAGAAAAUGAACUUUUAUAACGGUUUCAUUGAGAAAUGGUGCAAUUUCAUCUUUGCUAUUAAGUCAAUAUUCAUGGUUGAAUGCAAAUAUGAUGAGCAACAUCAAUGAACCUACAAGCUAUUUGAAUGUCAUCAAUGAUCAAACAGUAAUCGAACUGAAAGAAAAUUACGGUUACGAACAUAAUAACUUCCACAAGUAAAAUUUUAUUUACUCGUAUACGUUCUAAAACACAUUAUAUUUCCACAUUGUAUAUAACAACAGCUAUCAACAUAUUUUGGCUUCUGUAACUAACUCAAGUACAAUGAGAUCAAAAAUUGCGAGAAAAUUACAAAUUCACUCACUACAGUCGCCGGGGAAUGUAUCCCAACAAACGGGACGAUAUCAACCUGCAACCAGCUCUCCACAGCGGACCCCACCACUGAACCGGCCACAAGCCCUCCAAGUGUUAGUACACUUGCUUUCCCUAUGAUCAAUUUUUUUUAAGAAAUGUAUGAAAAAUCAGUGACCAAAAAAAAAAAAAAAUUGAAUCAGUGACCAAAAGCAAAAAAGAAGCAAAAGGGUCGCUUUUUAUUACCUAAUUUAACAUUUCUCUUUGUCAUGAAAUACAAGGAUGCCCCGAAACUAGCAGCUAAUAAAAGGCCGGGAGCAUUGUCUUGGUACGAAGAUGAAGAGGCUCCGCUCACGUAUGUUAAGACCACGAGAGCUCCGUACACCCCAGCUUGCAGGGGUAAGUCUUUAGUAGACGGUGAUUCAACUGAUAUCGCCAUGAAGUUUACGGAACUCUGCAGCCAUUUAGGCAUUGACCCUGAUUUUUUAGAAGUAUUUACGGGUUUGACAUCAGCAUAACGGAUCCCGCUAUUAACAACUCUACCUGCUCUGCGUUGUGAUAAGCUCUGCAUUAGCAACAUAUCGUAUGCAGUCUCUACCUGUAAAAUAGACAACCCGUAUUCAUUAAUUCGUGUCAUAUUUAACUUCUUUCUUUUUAUGCUCGGAUUUUUCUUUAGCCAAGUAGAAGAAAAAGAAAGUAAUGAGACGAACGAUGGUUUAUUAAGCCUUCUAUAGUUGAGUUCGGAAAAAAAGAAGCGAAAUUAAAGAUUACAUAGGAGGUUGAUUUGAUCCAUUAAAAAAACAGUUAUAUUAGUGUCGUGGUUAACAAAUAACAACCCACCGACGAAGAAAUCAACAAGCAUUGAGCAUAAUGAAGAGGAACUAAAAUAUUAUUAAUCUCUGAGUUUCUCAACAGGGCUUUUUAGGACAACUAGUUUCUAAAUAAAACAUCGUAAAAGAGACCACCUUGAACAUUAAUCAUUUGACAAAUCAUCACAUUUAAGACAAAAAAGUAGGCGCAGUAAAACCAUAUUCAAGGACCAUUAUCAUCUAGAAUCGAAGGGUAUGUUCAUAUGCCAUACAAAAUUUCAAGAAUCGCAUAUAAAAAAUCGGGUUUGUGGAGACUUGACAACAGGGCUGAAAAUCAAACCAAGCUACUUGAUACGUUGAUUCGAUUUGAGAUCGUUCUCUUAAAGUUAGUUGGAGCUCGAUUAAUUAACAUAACGAAAACUUGAACACAUAUUUUCGGCUAUAGAUCAAGCUCGAUUCGGAAAAAAAGAUAAAACACGAAUUAAGCUACUCGAGCUCAAUUCAUGCUCUAACUCGAUUACUAAUCAAACCAAACUCAAACACAACUUUGAAAGCUCGAUAAAAUUGAAAUAAGCUUGAACAAACACGUGCUCGGGUCGACUUGAUUACGUUUACACCCCCAAAUCAAUAACACAAUGUUUCCUAAAAAUAGAUGCUCACGUGCUUAUAAUAUAUAAACUGAUCAUUCAAUAAAAAAACCCCCAAAUCUAAAAAAUAAAAUAAAUGCAAAAAAAGAAAGUAAGAACCUGAGCAACUGCUUGUUCGUCAUCUUUACAUGAAGCAAUAACAGAAUUCUUGGCUCGGAGAAUAUCCUCAAAAGAUGCUCCCUCAGAUACCCCCAAUAAUUUGAGGGCGUUCUCCACCGACAUCUCCAACGGCGCAGAGUCGUCGGCUCGUGAGCUAGCUCGCAGCGGUGGGGCUAAUAGGCGGCGCCUGAACUGUGGGCGGCGGUUCAGGUUAAGCAUCUGAGUGACCGGAGAUAGUCUGGAUUGGGUCGAACCGCCCGGUCUUCCGCCGGCGAUGUAGCGGUUGGGCCGGACCGAGAGGGCUGUGGCCAUCUUUCACUGCGUGUGUGUGUGUGUGAAGAAGGGAACUGUUUUUUAACGGCUGAGAUUAAAAGUUUCCGGCAAUGUGAAAAAUUGUACAGAUUUUAUGUACGAUUUCAUAAUUAUAUGUGGUUAUUAAUUUUUUAUUUAGAUAUUUUCAUUUAUUCGCAUAUAAUAAAAAAUAUUAAUUGUUAUUUAGUUAAUUAUUUAAGCUGUCUUGUCACAGUGGGUCCCAAUCAGUUAGAAAAUGACACGUGGCACACUUAUCCAACGUGAGAUCUGGACGAAUACACCCCUUACUGCUCAUCACAUUUUACACGGGCCAACCAUCUGCCAGCUGGUGAUUAUUUUGUUGUACUCCUCCAGCAUUAAAAAAUUGCCAUAAUUUUACAGCGGCAGUAAAUCACGCUUCAAGAGUUGUACGCUCCAGUAUUUCAAUUGCGCUCGUAAAUAUUGGUAACUGUUAAAUUGUUGAUAAAAAGAAAAAGUCUUCACAUUAUACACGAUUUCAAAAUAGACAGUGAUAAAUAAUUUUAUUCCGAUCGUCAGAUCUCAGUUCCUCCUCUUCUUCUUCAGUUUUCUCUAGGUAUUGAGAAACAGCAAAAAGGUAUGUGACUUUUCAGAUCCAAAUUGGUGCAUAUUCAGUUUCUUUCAAUUGGUUCAUACAAUUUAGAUUUUUUUUUUUAAUUUUGUUUUUUUGAUUUUAAUUUUUUUGGUGUAUGUGAGUAUCAAAUCAGCUUCGUUUUGCUUGGAUUGAGUUAUAAUUGGCACAUUUAAGGCUUAUAUUAGCACCAGCUACUGCGUUUGCGGGUAUAUGGUUGAGUUGAGAAUAUGAAUCCGAUCCAUCUUUUUUUAGUUUAUGCGCAUGAUUUGUGAGGCGGUUUUUCCAUUGUCACGUGGUUCGCUGAUUGCUGCUUUUAGGUUAACAAUUUAGCGGAAUAAAUAGUAGAAGUUCCUGUAAUGAUCGUCUUGCCGUAAUCGAAUGUCAGUGUCAGUUUUAACGGACUUAGUUAGUAGGAAAGGAUAGAGAUGCACUUGCUGAGAUCCUGUUUUUGGAAUCGGGACACCUAAUAGAAAAAAAGGAAAGCUCUAUCGAAUUCGAGUUUGACCACAGUAAGAAUUUAUCAAAAAAAUGAUCAAGGGUAUCAAAUGUUGAACUUUACGAGGGAUUUGGCACUGAAGUAUAUAAUUAAGGGACUAACGACGGAGACGUUUUGUGAAAUUGGCAUAUUAAUGAGAUACGGGAAGUAGGGUGUAGUUCAUGUUAGAGAUUUCUAGUUCAGUUUUGUUGUUUGGAGUGAUCUGAAACUCAAUGCAACUAAAUUUGGUUGCUUCAAGUAGAAUUUAGCCCUCUCUCUCUCUCUCUCUCUCUCUCAAAAUUUCUUAUGCAAUCUGAAAUUGUGUGAUUCUUUUUUUGUAGGUUAUGGGUGGAGCACAAAAAAAUACUGACAUGGAGGAAGGAACUCUAGAGAUUGGAAUGGGUAUGCUAUCGUCAUAAUUAGUCAUCUCCCUGUUACUUAAAUAUAUAGAUGCGUGUGUACAUCUACGCAUAUACAUCUGUGAUGUCUGAUUUUAAAAUCCAAAUGUUGUCAAAUGGUGACAAUUACCCUUGUGAUAUAUAUAAUAUGGAUAAUGAACUAGAGUGUUUUAAAUUGUUGGAUGCGUAAGUCUCCCUAAAGCAUGAUAGAGUCUUGAUUAGGAUUGUACAUUCACACUGUAACAGAAUGUAAUGAUUAGAAAUCUAUGAAUUCCACUAAGCUUUCAUCUGACAUUGCACUGAUAUCACUUAGAAGGUAAACAAGAAGUAAAAGUUAGUACAGGACCAUAUAAAUAUUCUCUUGAUUCCUUUUUUUCUUCCCCUUUUCAGAAUACAGGACUGUCUCUGGUGUUGCUGGACCUCUGGUUAUCCUUGACAAAGUCAAGGUAAAUGCUGUACUUUUUUUGUGUGUUUAAGCAUCUAAUAUGCUUCUCUAGGCCUUUAUGAAUAUGGAUCUAGGAACAGGAUCAUUUAUAUGUUAACUAUGUCAGGGGCCCAAGUACCAGGAAAUUGUCAAUAUUCGCUUAGGAGAUGGAACAACCCGACGUGGGCAAGUAUUGGAGGUUGAUGGGGAGAAGGCUGUUGUUCAGGUGAGCACCCUCAAAUCUUCUUUCUCUUUUGAUUUUCAGCCUCUUGUGAAGAAGCCAAAUGGAUUUUUGAUUCCUUUGCUCCUUCAGAGUUUCAGCGACACAUAUCCUCUUCCUUGAACUGUUUAAAUGUCGUUUUCUUAUAAUGAUUACAUAGUACUUCUACUUCUUUAACGAUUUCAUUUUUCCUUUGUUCUUUAACCAGGUUUUCGAAGGAACAUCUGGCAUUGACAACAAAUAUACAACUGUCCAGUUCACUGGGGAGGUACAGUCAUUUGCACUUGCUGUUAUCUGUUGAAAUUGGGUUCAAAUUGAUGAUCCUGAACAGUGCUAGAUUAAUGGUUAUGGUCUAUAAGUUUUUCCCAGGCAUUUCCAAUCUUGAAAAUGCUGAUUAUGUUGUUUUCUUUCUGAAGUUUAAAAUGCAUUUAUAUUUUUAUGUAAUGACAUUAGAUAGUGGUGCAAUUUUGAAUUCCUAGAAGCACUGAAGUUGUAUUUCUUUGUUCUUUUGUUGUUAUGAACACUCAUUCUUAAGAAUUUGGUUUCUCAACUUGUUUACAGGUUUUAAAGACACCUGUCUCCUUGGACAUGCUUGGUCGUAUUUUCAAUGGUUCUGGAAAACCUAUUGACAACGGCCCACCUAUUCUCCCUGAGGCUUACUUGGAUAUAUCUGGCAAGUGUCAAUGGCGUAGAGAGAAUUGUCUUUUUCUAUACACAUCGCCUGCCCACAUUUGAUUUAUACUGUACCCUCUUUGUGCAGGGAGUUCCAUCAAUCCUAGUGAGAGAACCUAUCCUGAAGAAAUGAUACAGACUGGAAUUUCAACUAUUGAUGUCAUGAACUCAAUUGCCAGAGGACAGAAAAUUCCUCUUUUCUCCGCUGCUGGUCUUCCCCACAAUGAAAUAGCUGCCCAGAUCUGUCGUCAGGCUGGUUUGGUGAAACGUUUGGAGAAAACAGAGAAUCUUCUCGAGGUAUGUUGUCACCGCGUAAAUUUUUUCCCUUCAUAAACAUGAUUCUUACGAUCUACUCUAUACUACAGGAUGGUGAAGAGGACAAUUUCGCCAUUGUCUUUGCAGCUAUGGGAGUGAACAUGGAGACAGCACAGUUCUUCAAACGUGAUUUUGAGGAAAAUGGAUCCAUGGAGAGAGUGACCCUUUUCUUAAACUUGGUAAUGAUGCUAAUAACAUUCUAUUAAAUCAUCAAGCUUUUGUUUUAAAUAAUGGGUCAAGAUGCCUCCUGUUUCUGAAGUAAGUUUUCUGCAGGCCAACGACCCAACAAUUGAACGCAUUAUUACUCCUCGUAUUGCUCUGACAACUGCAGAAUACUUAGCAUAUGAAUGUGGGAAGCAUGUCCUUGUCAUAUUGACAGAUAUGAGUUCUUAUGCUGAUGCUCUUCGUGAGGUAACAUCAUCAUGAAUUUCCUGAUUUAUCAGCUAUACGAACUGAUAAACUGGGUUUGUUUAAAAUUUAUUUGAAGGACUUCACAUCCUAAAGGCUAAAGGUUUCAAGUAAAUUAAUUAAAAAACUAUAGGCUAAAGGUUUGCUUCUUAGGUGUCUGCUGCUCGAGAGGAAGUGCCUGGAAGGCGUGGAUAUCCUGGUUAUAUGUACACCGAUCUGGCAACUAUCUAUGAGCGAGCUGGACGAAUUGAAGGAAGAAAGGGUUCCAUUACUCAAAUUCCUAUUUUAACCAUGCCUAAUGAUGGUAAUACAUCUAUCAACAUUCUACUUUAGCCAUCUAGCAAUUUCACCUUUUUUUUUUCCCUAUUGCAAUUUUGAAUUGAUCUUGUUCUCUUUCAAUUGGUCAGACAUUACACAUCCGACCCCAGAUCUUACGGGUUAUAUUACUGAAGGGCAGAUAUAUGUCGACAGGCAACUUCAAAAUAGACAGGUAAAGAGAGCAAUUAGGGCUAUUUUUUGUCCAAAAUUUUUAAGAACAUGUCUUUUGUAUAAACUAUAUUUCCCUUUGUAAUAUUGAAAAUGUUGGGGUCUCGUCACUUUUCGCAUGGUGCAUCUUUUAGAUGUUCGUCCCUCUUUAUUUGUUGUGUCAAAAUAAUCACUAAAAUGAUAUCUGUGUGAAUCGACAGAUAUACCCUCCAAUCAACGUGCUUCCAUCCCUGUCUCGUCUAAUGAAGGUAAUUUGAUUCGGUGCUCAAAAAAUGUUUGGUUUUAUUCAUGUGAGAGAAAUUAUAAAGGAUAAUUAGGGUUCCAUAACUGCUGCUUCAAUAUACUGCAGAGUGCCAUUGGUGAGGGCAUGACCCGUAGGGAUCAUUCCGAUGUGUCUAACCAGGUAAACUAUCUAAAUUUAUUUUGCAGAAGUAAUCCCAAUUACUUAAUGCUACAUUUCACUACUAAUUUUUCUUUAUUUCAUAUUUUUCCAGCUGUAUGCAAACUAUGCCAUUGGUAAGGAUGUCCAAGCAAUGAAAGCUGUGGUUGGAGAAGAGGCACUUUCCUCAGAGGAUCUGGUCCGUUAUCUGUCUCCCUAAUUUCUCUAUUUGUAUUAUUAAUUUCAUGCGGUAAACACCAAUUUAGAUUACUAACAAUACACAUGGAUAUAUACAGCUAUAUCUCGAGUUCCUUGACAAAUUCGAGAGGAAGUUUGUUGCCCAAGGGGCAUACGACACCCGCAACAUUUUCCAAUCACUCGAUUUGGCGUGGACACUGCUCAGAAUCUUCCCCCGUGAGCUUCUUCACCGUAUUCCGGCAAAGACUCUCGACCAAUUCUACAGCAGGGAUGCUUCCAACUGAUGAGAGAGAGAUAUAUAUAUAUUCGGUUUUUUUUUUAUGCGGUUUGAGAUACAUUUCUUGACAUAUAUUUAUUUAUAUUCUUUGAAAAGAGAACCAGUUUAUUCAUUUAUGUAUUAUUGUGUUCGGUCUUGAUGAGUGGUGCUUUUGGGAUCCUUAAGUUGAAUUUUCGAUACCUUUUUUUGUGGUUUCGACCGUUAAAGCGAAGCGACUGCGUUAUAUUGUUUCCUGGAGAUGUAUGCCUGUUGAGAAUUGGUUAUGUACCUCUAUGUUUUAAUUUAAUAAAUGAGGAUUUCUUCUGUACCUUUCUGCCUUUCCGAGUUCCGAUUGGAGAUUUCGAACCGUUCCGUAGUUUUUGGGUUCGUGCAGAACAACACGAACUUCAUAAAAAAAUAAACACCAACUGCAGUCAUGUUGUAGGAUGCAAACAAAGAGACUUUUUUUAAUCAAAUAAUAUUAAAUUAUACUAAAAAUUAAAAAGGGUAAAUUACAACCACCCUAGGUAUGGUCAAUUUACGGAAAAACCCCUCUUGUUUGGAUAAUUACAUCUAACCCCCUCAACUAUGAUUUUUUCUUACAUCUCCACCCUUACGGUGUCAAAUUCAACAUAAUCAUCUAGGUUUCGUGGAAUGUGCUCUAGUUUGUACUCGUUUUGUUUAAAAAUACAGUUUCUGAUGCACCACAAUCUGAUAUAUAUAAGCAAAAAAAUACAUAUUAUGAUCAUCUUGCUUCAAAAUGUGGAGUUCGAAUAGGAUAAAACGGGUACAAAAGUGAUAAUCUUUCAUAUAAUCUCGAAGAUUCCACUAAAUUUGAAACCGCAAGGGUGAACGUGUAAAAAAAUUUAUAGUUGAUGGGUGGUUGUAAUUACCCAAACAAGAGGGGUUUUUUUGUAAUUCAACCAUACCUCAGGGGUGGUUGUAAUUUACCCAAUUAAUAAAUAAACAAAUAAUCAGAAUAUACAUAUUUUAUUAAUAAUUAUUUCGGUAACACCCCCAUAUUACUCUUUCCUUGAGCCCACAACAUUAUUUUAAUCCGAACGCCGUCGUUUUUUAAAACAACCCCUUUCUUACCCAAUUCACCUUUACAAUCCUAAUUCCCCUUUUUCUUCAAUUUCUUCUGCGAUCAAAACCCUAAGUCUCGACAAUUUAUUUCCCCCUCCAAAGAAAUCAAUCACCUUUGCAAUCCUAAUCCCCCUUUUCUUCAAUUUCGUGCUCGAUCCAAACCCUAGUUCUUCAAUUUCUUGACAAUUUCACCUGUAUAAAUUUAUAUAUAUAUCUUCUCUCCUCUUUUGAAUAUUAAAGCUUUCUUAUUAUGGAUGUUGAAAUCGACCAUUACAAUGUUCUGGGGCUACCUUCCGGCGAAGAAGGUGCUAAACUCUCCGACCAAGAGAUCACCAAAGGCUAUCGAUCGAAAGCCAGGGAGCUGCACCCCGACAAAAGACCCGACGACCCUCAGGCAAACGCUAAUUUCGUAAAGCUUCAAACUUCGUACGAAGUUCUCAAGGAUGAAAAGGCGAGGAAGUUAUUCGACGACCUACUCAGAGUUAAAAGGGAGAAGCUUGUUCGACAGGGUCAGCACGACUCGAAGCGGAGGAAGAUGAUGUCGGAUCUCGAAGAGAGAGAAAGAUCCGCUUUUGCUGUGGACCCCACCGCUAGAGCUCGAGAAGAGGAGGAGAGAAUUUCCCGUCAAUUGAAGGCGGAGAUUGCUAGGAUUCGUGCAAUGCGUACGAACAAAACGGCAGCUGGUACAACACCUUUCAAGCAGGAAACAACGAGGGGUGAAAAGGAGAGCACGGAUUGUGGAAGUAAUGGAUUGGAUAAGGAGAAGGUACUUAAAGUUUCGUGGGAGAAGAUUGGUGGCGAUUACACUGCGAAGAUGCUUAAAGAAAUUUUCGAAGAAUUUGGCGAUGUAGAAGAUGUGGUUAUCAAGAGUUCGAAGAAGAAAGGGUCGGCUCUUGUAGUAAUGGCGUCUAAAGAUUCUGCUGUAAGCUUUCAUUUUUUUUUUUCACAUGUAUUUGAUUCUUUUGGACUUCAUUGUUUUUUUUUUUGAAUUUCCAAAUUAUUUUUUUAUUUUUUUAAAUUUUUUCAGGUUUCUGCUACUGGGAAUAUGUUGGGUAAUAUAUCGAAUCCGCUCCUAGUUCUGCCGCUUCAACCAGCUCCGUCUCCAGUUGUUUUCAGUCAUGAGAAGAAAAACGAGUCCGAUGGGCCAAAAUUAGGCAAUUUGGUCGGUGCUGGUUAUCAGGCGUUUGAAGAUUCGGUAUUGGAUAAAUUAAAAAAGGUUGGUAUAGAAUUAUAACACCUAUAUUUAAGUUGAGCAGUUCUUUUACAGUGUAAUUGUUAAUUGCUUAUUAAAUGCUUAUUUUUCUUGUUUUUGUUAUACGAUUGGAUUUCUUUUGUAUAGUGUUGUAGUAUCUAUGUUGUGCUGGGGGCUUCUAGUUAAUUGCAAAGUUAAUAUAAAUUUUGUGAGUUUUUACUUUGGGUGGGCGGUCGAUUAUCGAAACAGUAGCAAAAAAGGUCACCAUUGUUUUCUAAUUAUUGUUUUUUUUGUUAAUUGUGGCAGGCUGCUGAGAAGCAAAAGUGACUUGUUAAAGAAUCUUGGAGGAGGUGUGAACAAGAAGAUUAUUUGAUCUGUUUAAAACGCAUAAGGUAUCUCGCAAUGGCUGUAAUUCUAUGUUAUAUUAAUAGAUCUUAUUAUGAUUGAACGAUCAACGUUUGUUCUGUCUGCAUACUCUGUAUUUAUUUUUUCAGUAAUUGAUGCGAAAAUCCAAAUAUUGGUUGGGUAUUUGUUAUUCGAAGUUAUACAUCUAAUUGUUAAAAAAAUUAAUUCAACAAGGUGUAAUAGGGGUAACCGAAACUUUCUUGUGAAAUUUGCAUCAGAAUUGUUUCACAAGAAAAAUCUCCUUACGGUUGUCUGUCUUUUAAUACAUUUCUUCCUUUCUUCUUCUUCUUAUUGUUAUUAUAAAUUUUAUUUAUUUAUUUAUCUUCUAGUUAUAUUGGCGAAUGGCGUGAUUGCUCUAGAGCUAGAGGUGGAAGUGGUGGCUGCACCACCUAUUACUGAUUAUAUCUCCGAACGGAACAGUGCGUUGUGCAUACCUUAAUGUGCAAAAGUCGAUAACGGGGUUUUGAGAUUUUCUUUGCUGCUAAAUACCGGCACCCCCAACCCCCACACUCUGAUGAUUGAAUUUCUGUAUUAUGCAAGAAUUACUAUUAAGUUAGAGUGAAGCAGAUGAAAGUGGCAAGGUAAAAUCAUGUGUGCAUUGCACAAAACAAAGGUUAAUUAGAGGGUAAUACCUGCCAUUUAUUUUAUUUUAUGGUCCAGCGUGUAGAACGAGUUUAGUUGGAGGGUGCAGAAUGCUAAUUAGCCAAGUUAAUAUACUAUGUUGAUAUGCAUUUCUUCAAUUUAUUCACACCAUAAUAAGUAUUCUCCAUUUAAUUCCGUCCAUCACAUAAGACACUAUUUACACGUUUUAAACAACAUAUCUCUUUAUUUUACUCAAUAAUCUACUCCAACUGUGACGUGACCCCCAAUCGUUUAUCCGACUCCGACUUAAUAGUACAUAAUAAUAUUGAUAUCCAAAUGCGACUAUCGAUUUUUUUUUGGAAUGUUCGAAAUUGAAUCGAGAAUACGAAUUUCAUAUAUAGUCCAAUUUAAGUACAAAAAAAAUUCGAUAACAAUUUGAAUGCAUAUAUUUUUUUCUGGAAUUCAGCAUAAAAGACAAUCAUUUUAAAAGAAUAAAAAAAAAAUUGAAUUCCAAUAUACAUCAUGUACAAACAAAAUUUGGAAUGGGUCCGAAAAUAAAACAAAUAAAAGUCUAAUCACAAUAGAAACACACGUGUUCAUCGUGGUAGGUGCCAGCUGUGAGUGGACCCCACACCCCCCAAAAACCGGGGCCCACCCCUCAGAGUCAUGACUCACCUAAAUCACUUAUCGCCAACAACACACACACCCACAUAAAUAAAUAAAUAAAUAAAUAAAUAAAACACAGUCAGCCAGAAUUCUCUUUGCCCAUCAAAUUAAAAUUACAGAAUCUGUAAACCAUAAAUGGUAGAGAUUGUGUAUUAUGGAAAGCUCCUUAAUUAAACCCUUUUAUUUGCCCUUAAAUCUCAUACUUAGCGGUACUGCUAAUUAUCACUACUACAAGUCUACAACAACAAGUAUACAUAGAGAGAGAGAGAGAGAGAGAGAGAGAGAGAGAGAGAGAGAGAGAGAGAUGAUUGCUCUAGAGAGCAGCAUCAGCUACACCAGCUUGAAGGACUUGAUGCCGCCGUCGACCUCUUCUCCGACUGGAAGCUGGAGGGAGAUUCCGAUCAAGGAUCCUCUCCUCCAGCACGCCGCCUGGGCCUACCUUCGUCCGGUGGCUGCGGACCGCGGCGAUGACGGGCGGUGGUGGAGGAGGUUCGCCGAGAAGUUCUGCGGUCUGUUCGUCUGCUUGAACGGCGUCGUUUUGAUGGUGUUUGAGGGCAUGUUCUCCGGUCACGUGAUGAUCAAAGUUUGACUAAUCAGACUUAAGAGAGAGAG